GCAUGCAGGUGGUUCAUUAAGUCAGAUGUGAAAGCCCGGGGCUACGCCGGCCUGCAUUUGAAACUGGUGAACUAGAGUACUGUAGAGGGGGGUAGAAUUUCAGGUGUAGCGGUGAAAUGCGUAGAGAUCUGAAGGAAUACCAGUGGCGAAGGCGGCCCCCUGGACAGAUACUGACACUCAGAUGCGAAAGCGUGGGGAGCAAACAGGAUUAGAUACCCUGGUAGUCCACGCCGUAAGCGAUGUCUACUUGGAGGUUGUGGCCUUGAGCCGUGGCUUUCGGAGCUAACGCGUUAAGUAGACCGCCUGGGGAGUACGGUCGCAAGAUUAAAACUCAAAUGAAUUGACGGGGGCCCGCACAAGCGGUGGAGCAUGUGGUUUAAUUCGAUGCAACGCGAAGAACCUUACCUACUCUUGACAUCCAGAGAAGCCAGCGGAUACGCAGGUGUGCCUUCGGGAGCUCUGAGACAGGUGCUGCAUGGCUGUCGUCAGCUCGUGUUGUGAAAUGUUGGGUUAAGUCCCG
RNAcentral lists this ribosomal RNA (520 nucleotides) under uncultured bacterium. RNAcentral describes it as "bacterial SSU rRNA". It matches the Rfam family "Bacterial small subunit ribosomal RNA", at positions 567 to 1089 of the family's 1533-position model. The record is from RNAcentral.